GGGAUGCUCCUGAUUCAGCCCCCCAAGCAGCUGAGAUUACAGUGGUCCACCCCCAGCCCCUGGACAUUUUUACUCAACUAAGAUGAUUACAUACAGAACAGGACUGGAAAAGAAUUCCAGAGGAAUCUUGAUCCUAGAUUGCAGAUAUGCAUUGUAGAUCGUCAAGUGGUCCGAAUCUGCUAUAGCCAAAGCUGAUUUUGCAAGAUCUGCUUCAUCUUUUCGACCAAUUGGU
Long non-coding RNA from Chinchilla lanigera (long-tailed chinchilla), 232 nucleotides. RefSeq lists it as uncharacterized. The transcript has 3 exons. Lineage: Eukaryota; Metazoa; Chordata; Mammalia; Rodentia; Chinchillidae. The record is from RefSeq and is a predicted model, not a curated record.